Molecule: small RNA, 715 nt
Filed under: Pan troglodytes (chimpanzee)
Lineage: Eukaryota; Metazoa; Chordata; Mammalia; Primates; Hominidae
Description: processed transcript
Source: RNAcentral
GAAUCGUGGGUGGGAUGGCCGUGGGCCGCCUCUUUCUAAGUCGGCUUCGAGCACCCUUCAGUUCCAUGGCCAAGAGCCCACUCGAGGGCGUUUCCUCCUCCAGAGGCCUGCACGCGGGGCGCGGGCCCCGAAGGCUCUCCAUCGAAGGCAACAUUGGUAACAUCCUCAAGCAAAUCAGAAUGAGAGCACCCAUUCAGGAAACCUGAACAGGGAAGGUGAACCCCUGUCCUGACCAAAAUUGGGCCUGCACUGCCCAAAGUCUUGGAAACUUGCUGGAUAUGAUGUACCGGGAGCCAGCACGAUGGUCCUACACAUUCCAGACAUUUUCCUUUUUGAGCCGCCUGAAAGUACAGCUGGAGCCCUUCCCUGAGAAACUCUUACAGGCCAGGAAGCCAGUACAGAUCUUUGAGAGGUCUGUGUACAGUGACAGUGACAUCGAGUGGCAUAUCUAUCAGGACUGGCAUUCUUUUCUCCUGUGGGAGUUUGCCAGCCGGAUCACAUUACAUGGCUUCAUCUACCUCCAGGCUUCUCCCCAGGCUCCACUUUGAGGCUCUGAUGAACAUUCCAGUGCUGGUGUUGGAUGUCAAUGAUGAUUUUUCUGAGGAAGUAACCAAACAGGAAGACCUCAUGAGGGAGGUAAACACCUUUGUAAAGAAUCUGUAACCAAUACCAUGAUGUUCAGGCUAUGAUCUGGGCUCCCUGACUUUCUGAAGCU